RNAcentral lists this non-coding RNA (24 nucleotides) under Rattus norvegicus (Norway rat). The record is from RNAcentral. Lineage: Eukaryota; Metazoa; Chordata; Mammalia; Rodentia; Muridae.
CUUGAAAAGCAGCUGGGUUUGAAG